CCUACGGGAGGCAGCAGUGAGGAAUAUUGGUCAAUGGGCGCGAGCCUGAACCAGCCAAGUAGCGUGAAGGAUGACGGCCCUACGUGUGUUAAACUUCUUUUAUAAAGGAAUAAAGUGAGGCACGUGUGCUUUUUUGUAUGUACUUUAUGAAUAAGGAUCGGCUAACUAGUUCCCAGCAGCCACGGGAAUACGGAGGAUACGAGCUUUAUCCGGAUUUAGUGGGUUUAAAGGGAGCGUAGAUGGGUUGUUAAGUCAGUUGUGAAAGUGUGCGGCACAACCGUAAAAUUGAAAGUGAUACUGGCAGUCUUGAGUACAGUUGAGGUAGGCGGAAUUCGUGGUGUAGCGGUGAAAUGCUUAGAUAUCACGAAGAACUCCGAUGGCGAAGGCAGCUUACUAAACUGCAACUGACAUUGAUGCUCGAAAGUGUGGGUAUCAAACAGGAUUAGAUACCCCAGUAGUC
Molecule: ribosomal RNA, 460 nt
Filed under: uncultured bacterium
Lineage: Bacteria
Description: partial 16S ribosomal RNA
Rfam family: Bacterial small subunit ribosomal RNA
Source: RNAcentral